AAGUCGUAACAAGGUUUCCGUAGGUGAACCUGCGGAAGGAUCAUUAACACGUUCCAAAACGUAUCAACCAAACGGUUAAGUGUAAACUUACUCCCUAUCUAGGAAAGCUGCGCAACACUCUUUAGUGAUGGGUAACGUCUCUCGAGAUGUUACAGAGAGUGUUGACUAGGGUCUCGAGCCCAGUGUUUUCCUUUAUAGGCUUUUUCCCCUUUUGGGGCCUUUUUCCCCAUCACUUCCAACUAACUACUUUCACCCUUUUAAUCAUUUGACUAAAUCUUUCGAACGAAGAAAUUUGUUUGGAAUUGUAUAUCUAACACUGUACAACUCUUGGCAAUGGAUAUCUUGGUUCUC
This 351-nucleotide unclassified non-coding RNA is filed under the name fungal sp. RNAcentral's name for it is "partial internal transcribed spacer region". The stretch from base 1 to 46 matches the Rfam family "Eukaryotic small subunit ribosomal RNA", at positions 1786 to 1831 of the family's 1831-position model. Lineage: Eukaryota; Fungi. The record is from RNAcentral.